RNAcentral lists this ribosomal RNA (492 nucleotides) under uncultured bacterium. RNAcentral describes it as "partial 16S ribosomal RNA". It matches the Rfam family "Bacterial small subunit ribosomal RNA", at positions 29 to 507 of the family's 1533-position model. The record is from RNAcentral.
AGUGAACGCUGGCGGUAGGCCUAACACAUGCAAGUCGAACGGCAGCACAGUAAGAGCUUGCUCUUACGGGUGGCGAGUGGCGGACGGGUGCGGAAUACAUCGGAAUCUACUUUUUCGUGGGGGAUAACGUAGGGAAACUUACGCUAAUACCGCAUACGACCUACGGGUGAAAGCAUGGGAUCUUCCGACCUUGCGCGAUUGAAUGAGCCGAUGUCGGAUUAGCUAGUUGGCGGGGUAAAGGCCCACCAAGGCGACGAUCCGUAGCUGGUCUGAGAGGAUGAUCAGCCACACUGGAACUGAGACACGGUCCAGACUCCUACGGGAGGCAGCAGUGGGGAAUAUUGGACAAUGGGCGCAAGCCUGAUCCAGCCAUACCGCGUGGGUGAAGAAGGCCUUCGGGUUGUAAAGCCCUUUUGUUGGGAAAGAAAAGCAGUAGGUUAAUACCCCGCUGUUCUGACGGUACCCAAAGAAUAAGCACCGGCUAACUUCGUG